ACAUGCAAGUCGAACGGUAACAUUUCUAGCUUGCUAGAAGAUGACGAGUGGCGGACGGGUGAGUAAUGCUUGGGAACUUGCCUUUGCGAGGGGGAUAACAGUUGGAAACGACUGCUAAUACCGCAUAAUGUCUACGGACCAAACGGGGCUUCGGCUCCGGCGCAAAGAGAGGCCCAAGUGAGAUUAGCUAGUUGGUAAGGUAACGGCUUACCAAGGCGACGAUCUCUAGCUGUUCUGAGAGGAAGAUCAGCCACACUGGGACUGAGACACGGCCCAGACUCCUACGGGAGGCAGCAGUGGGGAAUAUUGCACAAUGGGGGAAACCCUGAUGCAGCCAUGCCGCGUGUGUGAAGAAGGCCUUCGGGUUGUAAAGCACUUUCAGUUGUGAGGAAAAGUUAGUAGUUAAUACCUGCUAGCCGUGACGUUAACAACAGAAGAAGCACCGGCUAACUCCGUGCCAGCAGCCGCGGUAAUACGGAGGGUGCGAGCGUUAAUCGGAAUUACUGGGCGUAAAGCGCACGCAGGCGGUUUGUUAAGCUAGAUGUGAAAGCCCCGGGCUCAACCUGGGAUGGUCAUUUAGAACUGGCAGACUAGAGUCUUGGAGAGGGGAGUGGAAUUCCAGGUGUAGCGGUGAAAUGCGUAGAUAUCUG
RNAcentral lists this ribosomal RNA (650 nucleotides) under uncultured bacterium. RNAcentral's name for it is "bacterial SSU rRNA". It matches the Rfam family "Bacterial small subunit ribosomal RNA", at positions 53 to 700 of the family's 1533-position model. The record is from RNAcentral.